Long non-coding RNA from Macrobrachium nipponense, 2029 nucleotides. RefSeq lists it as uncharacterized. NCBI's taxonomy places the organism in Eukaryota, Metazoa, Arthropoda, Malacostraca, Decapoda, Palaemonidae. The record is from RefSeq and is a predicted model, not a curated record. The transcript has 3 exons.
GCAACGCUGAGGGGAAACGAAUGUCUCUCCCCUUAUAUUCAUUUGAAAUGACGUAUUUCUCCCUUGUAAAAGGGAACCAGUAUAGGGGUCCUGUGUAAGAACCAGUAUAGGGGUCCUGUGUAAGAACCAGUAUAGGGGUCCUGUGUAAGAACCAGUAUAGGGAUCGGUGUUGGUUCUAACUGGUAUUGAAGGAGUACAGCUAGGAAUAAGCUACUUUUACAAUGUAUCCACCUACUGUUAAGAAGAAAUAUUAUUAAAAAAAACCCGGGAGCCAGCCUUUCCCUCAACCCUUAUUACAACAAUGAAGAUUCGACCGUCUCCGACGUCAAGUACCGGUUCCAGCUAAGGAUAGGCCAAGAAGUAUAGUAGCCUAGGCCUAUGAGGUUGAUUAAUGGAACCUGGUUACAGUACCCUGCAGUACGAGAGUUUCACAUCGCAACUUCAAAAACCCGUUCGUCGCUGCGGACGACUACAAUGUGAAGAGAAUAAGCACCAUCAUAGGUGAACAAGCUUAUUUCAUGGACCUCUUGGACCGACACCCGUAUCCCGUUGUUAAUCUCGUUUUUAAUGCGGAAUGCUCCGACGGAAUUGACUACAAAGGGACAUACUUCCGACAAUUACGACCGAAGAGGAUAUUCAACUCUACGUUCCUGGCGCAGGACUCGUGCUGGGGAUGAUUUUAUUCAUCGCGAACGUAUUCGUAUGGCAUAGGAUGCAGAGGAGAAGUAUGGGCGCAAAAUAGAACGUUGGACCCUGUCCAGGCAAUUCCCCCUUGUUUUUAACCAUUUGGAAUUAGCCAUUUCAUUUGGCUAUAGGUGGUUGUCUGGAACUGUGUAAUGGACGAAAAGUUGUUCGAACGCUAGUUAAAUGUGCAGUGGGUAUCACCUCGGUCAUGUAUCUCAUAUAUAAAGUAUCAGUAAAGGAAUCAGUAUAUGAAUCAAUAUUUUAUUUGAAGAAUAUAGAAGUUAAUCAAUGAAUCGAAAUAUAUCUGUGCGUGUACGCACUAGGAAUCUAUUUAAAGUGCACCUAGAUUAAUCACAGAAACUCUUGCUAAAAUCAGGCCUGGGCCUGUUGUUUCUGUUCCAGUGGCCAUUAUUCUUAUUAUUAUGAGGAUGGGGAGUUCCAUUCUGAGGAGUAGUGGCAGCUUGCUGAUGAGGAGCCUCCUUUAAGAAGCACUGCUCCGUGGUGUGCCCUUGUUUAUUGCAAUGCCCACACACAGGUUUCUGUGGAGGAUUACUGGAGCCACUGGGUUGACUGAGAGGUGGCAGGAGGAAUGAGAGGGAGAACAGGGUGAAUCUUCUUCUUCAGAGAACUCUGCAGCGGAUGGUGGGUGUCGAGGUCGCGCCCGAUUUACAUCACUCCAAAAUAGUUUUAGGAGCCUUGUCCACCAAGUGGAUGGCAAGAUCAGGGGGAGCGUAGGACAGAAAGUCCUCUAAUUGAAAGAGUUCUAAGACCUCCUCAGCGGAUGCGUUGGAGGAUUUUAGGAUUUUAGUUAUUUCUAGUUAUUAACUUGAGAUUCAUAGCCGGAAAAGUUUUCUGAAUGACUUUAUGUAUUUGCACCUUGAAUGCGUUGGACCGAAUGAAAGGUAUAGAGGCAUACAUUAAUAAUUUAGGUACGUCCAGUACAAGUUGACGUGGCUGAAAUUUAUCAAUUAGAAAGUUAUUCACAUAUUAAAAGACUAAGGCUGGAGGCUACGAAUGGUAUUUAAAAAACUGGAGUAAAAAUUGGACUUCGCUAUGGAAGUUAUGCCAGCUGGAAGAUAACAUAUAAGCACGGUGUAAUAGCGUGGAAAUACUAAUUAGUUUAAAUGUUAGAGAACAACUGCUAUAGAAGUUAGUACCUUGACCUGUGAACGUCCUUUUUCUAAAGACGCUCGUAUCAAAACCAUGUUCUGUCCUAGUAAUUAAAACAUCUAAAAAAGCAAGUUGGUUGUGAUGUUCAUGCUCAAUUGAGAAAUGUACCGGACGUACCUAAAUUAUUUAUGUAUGCCUCUAUUCCUUUCAUUCAGUCCAACGCAUUUAAGGUGCA